GUGAAGGCUUUCUGAGCUCAUCAAUAGAGUGAGGAAUGAAUAUGUUAAUGGAGUUGUUUGGACUUCGAAAUGAAAUGUGGGUUAGCAGAAAAUACUGUCCUGUGUUUUAAGACGUUGAAACGAAUACUUCUACGUAAUAAUGUUCGGUUUGGUUAAUUUUUGGGGCUUUACCCCGUCUCCUGAUUAUCAAACCAUGUGAGUCAGCUUCAGUUGCAUUUUUGUACAUAGGAAAUAUGAUGCUGUCUUUUUUCACCAUCUUGAUUGCAGGGGUCUCUUUUUGUAUUGGG
Molecule: unclassified non-coding RNA, 287 nt
Filed under: Hevea brasiliensis (rubber tree)
Lineage: Eukaryota; Viridiplantae; Streptophyta; Magnoliopsida; Malpighiales; Euphorbiaceae
Source: RNAcentral